RNAcentral lists this long non-coding RNA (4916 nucleotides) under Olea europaea subsp. europaea. Lineage: Eukaryota; Viridiplantae; Streptophyta; Magnoliopsida; Lamiales; Oleaceae. The record is from RNAcentral.
CUCUUCCUCUCAUUUGCACCAAACUGUGAAACUCUCUCUGCCUCUAACCUAGCCGCCGUCAACGUUGGAUUUUCAGGCGAAUCAACGUCGAUUGAGUACUCAAGUCAUAGUGGAAGUUUCAUCCACAAGUCCAAUGACGCCUCUCUCUUUUUCGCCGAGCGAAUCUGAUGAAAAGUCCAAGCCUUCUUCCAAGAAAAAGGUAUUUGUUAUUUCAACUUUUUUCUCUAUUUUUAAUUUUAUGUAUGGAUUUGUUCUGGGUUUCUAUUUUCUUGGAGUUUUAACAUCUGGAAUUUUUCUGCAAUUCCUUAUUUUCAUACUUUUAAAAGAACUUUGCCUAUGAAUUGCAAGAGAAGUUGGAAUUUUGAAGCUAAAUGAAUUAUAAAAAUAGGAACUCCAAGAGAUUAAAGGAAUAUAUCAGGUAUCACUUUUAAUAUUUGAUAACAACUGAAUCCAUCUAAAAACUGCAUGUAGAAUACAAAGCAGUAAGAAUGCAGAAUUUGUUCUCUUUUUAAUUUGUAUUCUGGCUACAGAGACAGAAGAUUUGUGCAGUCUUAUUUGGUUUCAAGUAUCUCUAGAGUGAAAUCUAAGAUACAAAAUUAUAAUUGAAAGGAUAGGAAGUUUGAUUGAUCAAAAGUUUCUUGUGUCGGAGAACAGCAGAAAAUUACCAUUCAAAUGGCUGUUCAUAUCUUCACUCAUUCUGGUUAUUGGUGAGUAAAGUAUACGGUAUCGAGUUAACUCAAGAGUCUGCUCAUAAACUACAAUGUCAAGUCUAACUACCUGCUCAUUUCUUAACGAUUAAAUGCCGCUAAUAUUAGAGAUUUAUGCAGUCAGUGAUAAGAACAAAAUUCUAAUUUUUAACCUUUUUUACUACUCAAUAACAAGAAAAUACGAACUUCCAACAAUGAAACAUAAUUUAAUUGGUGCUAAAACAGUGUUUCAUAUGAUUCAAAUUACAAUCUUUUCUAUCUAAAAUUAAAUGCCAAAACGAGAUUACCUUUUGGAUAUUAACUAAAGGCUCAUGUCCAAAACUUAAAUUCAUAAGAAAACAACAUAUACAUUAAGGGAAAGUGUUGUAUCACAUAGAAAUCACCAAACAUGACUUACUGUUGGGAAAAAUAAUAAUUUGAAUGUAGAUUAAUGUCAAUUAAAAUAACAAAUUUAAGCAAAGAGUUAGAAAAAAAUUAAAAAAAGUUACUUGUACAAUGAACAAGCACGAAAAGGAAAGAAAAACUUAGCUAAUUCAAUUGAUCAUAAAUCAGAAAAGAGAUAUACUACGGCGUUAUAUAGAGUGGAUUUCACGACAUUCGGGAGGCCAACGAUGUUGGCUUUCAAGCUCAUGCUUAUCUUAGCUAUCUGAAAUUGUCUAUUGAUAAAAACAUCGAAUGCGAAGAAUUUGAAAGAUUUGGUCAUUGGAAUAGGAGUGAAAGCUUCAGUGGUAGUGAUGAAAUUGAAAGAAUGAGAUUUGCGCAUACUAUUCUUACCAUUAAUAAAGGGAAAUGAGGUUGAGAGUUUGCAGAAUUUGAUUAUAAUGUAGUAAUUGCUAAUUCUUUAAGGCAAAAUUUUGGGAGGGGGAGGGGGAGGGGGAGGGUUAUAACAUAUUUAACAUGUUCUUAAAUAAUUUAGUUAGUUAUUAGGGUAUUAAUCUAAGCGGAACUUACGAAAGUACUCCCAAAAUUAGAAGUCUUUUGAAAAAUCAUAUGGAAAGUGUUUUAGAAGUAAAAAAAUACUUGUGUAAAGUGAAGUGUCCCAUUUUUAUUGAAAGGUGACAUACUGAGAAUUCAUGUUUGUCAUUCAAAAAAGUAAUAGAAAUUUUUUAAAAAAAGUGAUAUAUACAACAAAAAAAUUAUAGAAUUUCAAAAAAGUGACCAAAAAAAAAAAAUAGUGACAAACACUCAAAAAAGACAAAAAUUUCAAAAAGUAACAAAUACUAAGAAAAUUGACAAAUUUACAUUCGUGUCAAUAAUUCAAGUCUUGUUGAAUUUGAUUGAUGUGAUACCAUUUUGAAAGUAUACAACUUGAACACAACGAGCAAACUUACCCAGAAUUUACAAUGGAUAAAUGCCAUUUCCUAGUCUAACAUCGAAGAAACAAUUUGCACAAUUUGAUUUCAUAUUAAAUCAAAUUAGGCUCAAAACUAGCAAUCAUUCCCUAAAUAGAAGUCAUGUAUCAUGAAGUGCACAAUCCGCAAUCAACAAGACAUUGAAAUAAUAGAUAGAAUAUAUACACGUAUUUGCACGAGAAAGAAUUACUCUAGAAACAUGCCCAUCCCACUUUCAAGAGUUCCUUCUUCCAAUGCAACGUCAUUUUGAGCACACCCAUAGUAAAUAAGUUAUAUAUCGUAAAACUUCUUUCACAGUUAACACAAUAUAAAAUAAAUUAACAUCAAGUUUCACUUAUAUUAAUUCAACAUAACAUAUAACUUCAUUUUAGGAACAUAAAAAGGUUAUAAAUUAGAAGUGUUAGAAAUUCAACAAGGGGUGCCAAUUUAAAAAAGUGAUAAAUACUUAAAAAAAGCAGAAAUUAAAAAGAGAGUGAAAAAAUCAAUCAAAGCCUGAAAAUGGAUCUAGUGUUGGUUGAUAGUGUUGGUUGAUUUCUUCUACAUUCUGUCUUUUUAAAAUUAUAUUUUACUUCUAUUAAUUAAACAUGUGACAUAACUUCAUUUUAGGAAAACAACAUCUUAUAAGUAGGAAGUGACAAGAAUUCAUAAAAAUGACUAAAAUUUAAAAGAGUGAUAGAAAUUCAAAAAAAAUGACAAAUUAUGUUUGUGUCAAUAAUUCAAAAUCACUCUAUUGUCUACACAUGAAAUUCGUAAAUCGUAACAUAUGCUCAUGUAUGAGAUCAUGUAUUCAAUAUAAUAAUGAUCGAUCUCAUAUUUGAAUAAUCACAUCAUCAACGUUUAUAUGCCCUAUUCAUACACAAAUUAGCCAAAAGCUUAAUUCAUAAACCAUCCUGUUUCUCCAACUGGCACAUGAAUAAGUAAUCUAACAAGGCAUUUGAUUGAAAGCAAUUCUAGGGCCCAAUCCUUGACAUCAUACUAUUCUCCUAAAACUUCAGAGAUAAUAAUUUUGCUAUCUUCUUUACGAGCUACAUCAGAGUGAAGAUGUUCUUAGUAUACAAACGUAAGUUCGAGUUUCAUUGGGUUGACCUAUCGGAAAACUAUCUACUAAGAAGGUCGUCAGCUUCUUCCUAUGCCCCUUAUUUACUAAGCUUGUGUUAUAAUCCAAAUUUUUAUCUCCAUUAAUAGUUGAAGACAAGUAAUCAGCAUUAUUAGCUAGAAAGCAAUGGGAUUUAUUUUGUCGGAGAAGGUACUCAUCUAAAAACAUCAUCCUUUGUGAACUUUCAUUAAUUUGGUGAAGAUGAUAUUUUUAUGAACUUAUAACAUCAUCAUACAUAUAUCACGCCUUUUAAACAAAGCCAUACUAUGAUUCUAAGACACAUCAAGUGAAAGGAAAGCAUAAUGCUUAGUUAUAUAUUAAAUCAAAAUUGAACAUGGCAAUUGAAACUAUACCUUUUGUUCAAUGAGCAAAAUAAUACAUGCUGCCAAAUGGACAAUGCCCUUUUAGCUCCAUUUGUUACAAAUCCUUGUUUUCCAGUUUGAGGGCUUCAAGAUUGAUUCAUUAUUGCCAAACUUAUUGUCGUAGUUUCUCGGGCUCCAGACUGAUCAUCAUGAAGGAAAAGUGCAAUUCUCAUCAUAAGAACAGCCCUCCUCUGUAUAGAAUUUCUUGCAAUGCCUCCAUUUAUAAGACUUCUGUGCCUCCUAACCACCUAGUAUAAUCGAAAUAUGAAACUCUUCACUUUGGCUUUGAUGACACUCCUCGUUCUUUGUCAUGGGCAACAACCAAAUCUUGAUGGUGGGAAGUAAAACAGAGAUCCAGUGGUGGGAGUCUCAGGAUUUCUAAGUUAAUUACCCAAAUAGUCACAUAACUUUGUCAAAAAUUUCAGGAGGUCGCUGAACUUCAAAACUUUCCUAAAUAAUCACUGAACUUUGGCGAAGUUCCCAAGAGCUCCCCAAAUUUCAAAACUUUGCUCUUCUUCUCGUAGCGAAUGAGAAGAGCCUGAGUGAUGCUAUAGAGAAGGGCAUUCAUUUACAGGAGCAUAUUAUGAAAUUAUACAAUGAUUAUUAUCAUGAUGAGUUGAUGAAAUUAGUUGUCAUUGGAGAAAUUAAGUUUUUUAUUCAUACAUUAAUAAGAAAAUGGAUAGAUGUGAAAGGUUUUUAGUUGGCCAUGUAAUUGAUAUUUGUUAUAGAAAGAAUGAAGAGAAAUCACAAGGUUGAGCUACGAGGUUGAAUCACCAGGUAACUAUAUUCUAGUGAACAUUUUGUUUCAGAGAAAAACCAUACAAUCAAUAUAAAAAAUUUCAACUAUAUGGCCAGUCAAGAACCUUUUACAUUUAUCCAUUUUCUUAUUUAUAUAUGAAUAAAAAACUUAAUUCCUCCAAUGACAACUAAAUUUAUCAACUCGCCUCCUGUAAAUGAAUGCCCUUCUCUAUAGCAUUACUCAGGCUCUUCUCAUUCGCUACGAGAAGUAAAGCAAACACAGUACAAAGAUACAUACACCUAAUGAGUCUAUUGAAAGGAUGAUCAGAGGUAAAUGUAUAGCACUGCAGCUGUUGCAGGCAUGAGAAAUUAUCUUGUAAAAAUUGAUUAAAUUUUAACCCAAAUUGUUAUAUGUUUAUAGGAUAUUCAACUUUGAGCCAACAGCGAUAACAAUGAACGAUCUACUACAAGAUGAUUUUUCGCGUCUGCAACAACUGUAGUGUCAUACAUCUGCGUCUGGUCAUCCUUUCAAUAGAUUCAUUCGGGGUAUAUUUCUUUGUAAUGUGUUUGCUCUACUUCUUGUAGGAAAUAAGAAGAGCCAGAGUAAUUUUAUAGAGAAUGACAUUUAUUUACAAUGACAUAUUAUGAAAUUAUACAAUGA